This 736-nucleotide long non-coding RNA is filed under the name Olea europaea subsp. europaea. The record is from RNAcentral. Lineage: Eukaryota; Viridiplantae; Streptophyta; Magnoliopsida; Lamiales; Oleaceae.
UACACAAGCACUUGCCACAUACUGAAAUACACAAGGACUUACUAUAUACUUAAUUACAAAAACACUUACCACAUUCUAAAAUACGCGAGCACUUACCACAUACUAAAAUAUACAAGCACUUACCCCAUACUGAAAUACUCAAACACUUACCGUGUACUGAAAUUUACAAUCACUUACCACAUUCUAAAAUACACAAGCACUUACCCCAAACUGAAAUAAACAAGCACCACAUAGGUACUAAAAUUUACAUGCACUUUCCCCCCCCCCCUCAAAUACACAAACACUGACCACAUACUAAAAUUUACAAGCACUUACCACAUACUAAAAUGCACAAACACUUACCGCAUAUUAGAAUAAACAAGUAUCACACACUGAAAUACACAAGCACUUACCACAUACAAAGAUAUACUUUUAAAAAUUAAAGCACCACAUACUGAAAUACACAAGCACUUACCACAUACAAAAGAUAUACUUUGAAAAAUAAAAAAUGAAAAGAAAUAAAUGUCUGUAAAUAUUGAAACAUAGGCAGGGUGAGGUAUGGGAGAAUUAGAGACAUUAAGCGCUGACGUCAUCACGGAACACAAGGCUCAUAGGCUGUGUCUACUGCGCAUCCAACUUUGAGUCUCUGUAUCUUCAGAAAUACUCGUCGGAUUUCAAUUUUUUAAAAAACUAUAUUUUUUUAAUUUUGGAAUCUUUAAAAUAAAGAAAUAAAAAAAAAUCAUGAGAAUUGUCAAUU